RNAcentral lists this long non-coding RNA (320 nucleotides) under Brassica napus (rape). RNAcentral's name for it is "long non-coding RNA (BNAP_LNC021664)". The record is from RNAcentral. Lineage: Eukaryota; Viridiplantae; Streptophyta; Magnoliopsida; Brassicales; Brassicaceae.
AUGCGGUUUUGAUCCAAACCAAACAUAUAUUUUGUGUUUUGUGUAUGUACAUUUUUUUCGUGUACACGAGUACAUUGAGUGAGCACGAUGAUGUGUACACAAAUGUUAGUGUACGCAUGUACAUGUUAAAGAGAUAUGAAAGUCAUAUUCUACUGCCAUUUGAGAAUCAACUUCAUUAAGCUUUGUAUAAUGAUAUGAAAAUCAUAUUCUACUACCAUUUGAGAAUCAACUUCAUUAAGCUUUGUAUAAUGAUAUGAAAGUCAUAUUCUAUUACCAUUUCAUCUUUGAAUGGAAUUAAUUUAAUUUUCCAGUGAUGUACA